RNAcentral lists this ribosomal RNA (482 nucleotides) under uncultured bacterium. RNAcentral's name for it is "bacterial SSU rRNA". It matches the Rfam family "Bacterial small subunit ribosomal RNA", at positions 30 to 507 of the family's 1533-position model. The record is from RNAcentral.
AUUGAACGCUGGCGGCAUGCCUUACACAUGCAAGUCGAACGGUAACAGGUCUUCGGAUGCUGACGAGUGGCGAACGGGUGAGUAAUACAUCGGAACGUGCCCGAGAGUGGGGGAUAACGAGGCGAAAGCUUUGCUAAUACCGCAUACGAUCUACGGAUGAAAGCAGGGGACCGCAAGGCCUUGCGCUCAUGGAGCGGCCGAUGGCAGAUUAGGUAGUUGGUGGGAUAAAAGCUUACCAAGCCGACGAUCUGUAGCUGGUCUGAGAGGACGACCAGCCACACUGGGACUGAGACACGGCCCAGACUCCUACGGGAGGCAGCAGUGGGGAAUUUUGGACAAUGGGCGCAAGCCUGAUCCAGCCAUGCCGCGUGCAGGAUGAAGGCCUUCGGGUUGUAAACUGCUUUUGUACGGAACGAAAAGACUCCUUCUAAUAAAGGGGGUCCAUGACGGUACCGUAAGAAUAAGCACCGGCUAACUACGUG